Molecule: long non-coding RNA, 779 nt
Organism: Callithrix jacchus (white-tufted-ear marmoset)
Lineage: Eukaryota; Metazoa; Chordata; Mammalia; Primates; Cebidae
Source: RefSeq, a predicted model, not a curated record
AAUAUGAAUUGCUGGCUGCACACGAGACACUCUGCUAGACAUCGGAGAUCCCGCUGUGAACAAGUGUCACAAGGCGCCUCCUGCUUCCAUGGAGCUGGGGUCACAGCAGGCAAAGAACAAGGAAGUAAACAACCGAGGGCAGGAAGUGUUGUCACCUGAUGGCUCAACAUAAACUGCCUGAGAUGGUGCCAGCUUUCGCGGGCAGCACUGGGCUUUGCUUGUGGCCAGGAGUCUCCUCUGCAGCUUCCUGAGCCUGGACAAAAGUCUUCCUGACAUGUUUAACUGUGACCAGUGCAAUUUUGGCUUUGACACUAUGCAAGAUUUUGGAACUUGAGAUAUGCUCUGUAAUGCCUACAAAGAACAAAAAGGAGCACUUAGGUUACAACAUGAAUUGUGUUUGGUUUACAUAAAGCAAGCAAAAAGGAGAAAGUCAUUAAAACAGCAUUUGUCAAGCCUGUAAUCCCAGCACUUUGGGAGGCCGAGGCGGGUGGAUCACGAGGUCAAGAGAUCGAGACCAUCCUGGACAACAUGGUGAAACCCCGUCUCUACUGAAAAUACAAAAAAAUUAGCUGGGCAUGGUGGCGCGUGCCUGUAAUCCCAGCUACUCAGGAGGCUGAGGCAGGAGAAUUGCCUGAACCCAGGAGGCAGAGGUUGUGGUGAGCCGAGAUCGCACCAUUGCACUCCAGCCUGGGUAACAAGAGCAAAACUCCGUCUCAAAAAAGAAAAAAAACCAGCAUUUGAUGUCUCUAAUAAACGAAGCCUAUUUAAAAAUGUGUAUG